This 164-nucleotide ribosomal RNA is filed under the name Acer campestre (hedge maple). RNAcentral's name for it is "5.8S ribosomal RNA". It matches the Rfam family "5.8S ribosomal RNA". From Rfam's summary of the family: 5.8S ribosomal RNA (5.8S rRNA) is a component of the large subunit of the eukaryotic ribosome. It is transcribed by RNA polymerase I as part of the 45S precursor that also contains 18S and 28S rRNA. The record is from RNAcentral. Lineage: Eukaryota; Viridiplantae; Streptophyta; Magnoliopsida; Sapindales; Sapindaceae.
AAAACGACUCUCGGCAACGGAUAUCUCGGCUCUCGCAUCGAUGAAGAACGUAGCGAAAUGCGAUACUUGGUGUGAAUUGCAGAAUCCCGUGAACCAUCGAGUCUUUGAACGCAAGUUGCGCCCCAAGCCGUUAGGCCGAGGGCACGCCCGCCUGGGUGUCGCGC